Long non-coding RNA from Salvia splendens (bonfire salvia), 1421 nucleotides. RefSeq lists it as uncharacterized. NCBI's taxonomy places the organism in Eukaryota, Viridiplantae, Streptophyta, Magnoliopsida, Lamiales, Lamiaceae. The record is from RefSeq and is a predicted model, not a curated record. The transcript has 3 exons.
GAAAAAUUUAUUUCACCUCAAAAUAAAAUGGACUCCAAAUAUGUUUUCCCUCAAAAAUUUUCGCCCAACAUUUUCUUCAAAAAAUUCUCCCAACCUUUCCCCCAAAUUUUCAAUUUUCAAACUUUUCAGCUUUUCAAUUCAUUUUGCACUAAAAUUUCAAACAUCAGCGGAGAAAUUUGCAUCUUCUAUUCUCUAUACAUUGCAAUCUUCUUCCAAGAGAUGGCUGCAAGGAAAUUAGAUUCGACCACCGGCAAAGUGCCCCUUCGCUACCGCCCCUGAACUGUUGCUUUUAGGUUCCACAAAUUGGAACUACUUCUUAGAAGGUAUUCCCUCACUUCAUAUAAGAAUCGACAUUUCAAUUCUAGUGACUUCACAAGUUUCUGCGCAAUCACAAAACAAUGAUAUGAUAUGUGUUGUGUUCAAUUAAUUGGAUUUCGCUUGUAUAUAUGUUCCUGUAUUUCUUUUUUGUAAAUGUUCCUUAUGAAUAUCAGUUGAUGUGAAUAUAUAUUAUUAGUACUGAUUGUGACUAAUUUAUGUUUAUUGGCUUAGAAAGAGGAUUUCUCCUUGAGCGCUCCAUAUAUAAUAAUGUAAUGCUCUUUCAAAACAUAUUGUGUUUCUUGAAUUUGCCUUUUAAGUUAAUAGAAUGUUGAUUCAAAGUAAUAUAUUUUACUAUCAUUGACCAAUAUUGAAGAUAUGAUCAUUCUCUAUGAGAUUUAUCUACUUUUUGCAUAGCUGAUUGAUCAAGUUAUAAACUUAUAUUUAUCACAUUACCAACAAUUUCUCUUGGACCCUUUCUCUGAUGAUUAGCUUACCAGAUUCUUCAUGCUGCCAAAUGCAAAUGAAUUCAUUGCAGGAAACAACUCAAAGAUUGUAAGGCCUUUUCUAAUUUGUUCAAUAUGCAGAAUGCGCAGGCAAUCCCCCUUCACUAAUAAUGUUGAUUCAAAAUUUUUUCUCAAUUUUGAGCUAAUGUUGAUUCUUCUUUUCGCUGUACAGAAGCUGCUACAUGAAAUAAUGGAGCAUUUCCUCUAAGUUGUGGGCAAAAUCAUGACAACUAGUGAAUGUAAAAUAGAAUUGGAUGUCUAUGCUAUGCAUUGUUUAUUUGAUUGUAUAUAACUAGAAUGCAAUUAUAAAAUAUGUUGAGAUAAAUAUGAAAAUAUUCGUUAGAAUAAAAAGGUAACUAAUAUCUUCACAUAUUAUUAUGAUCAAUCUUGGUUUAUGCUUUUCUAUUGAUUUUUUAGUUCCUGUAUUAAUUUUCUAUGGAUGUGAUGAUUUCUCCUUUAUUUGACAUAUACAGAAUCUCUAUCAAGCACAGGCUUCGCUCCUCAGACUUACAUGCAUCGAGGAAUCGCCUUAAAGGAUCUGAUUCGCUUGUGGCUAAGCUUUGUGGGAUUGAGAAGGUCGCGUGGCGUGGGAGAGGUACU